CCUACGGGAGGCAGCAGUCGGGAAUAUUGGACAAUGGAGGAAACUCUGAUCCAGCAAUGCCGCGUGUGUGAUGAAGGCCCUAGGGUUGUAAAGCACUUUCAACGGUGAAGAUGAUGACGGUAGCCGUAGAAGAAGCCCCGGCUAACUUCGUGCCAGCAGCCGCGGUAAUACGAAGGGGGCGAGCGUUGUUCGGAAUUAUUGGGCGUAAAGGGCGCGCAGGCGGUUUGGAUAGUUAGACGUGAAAGCCCUGGGCUUAACCUAGGAACUGCGUUUAAUACUGCCAAACUAGAGAACUAGAGAGGAUAGCGGAACUCCCAGUGUAGAGGUGAAAUUCGUAGAUAUUGGGAAGAACAUCAGUGGCGAAAGCGGCUGUCUGGCUAGUUUCUGACGCUGAGGCGCGAAAGCGUGGGGAGCAAACAGGAUUAGAUACCCUGGUAGUCCACGCCGUAAA
Molecule: ribosomal RNA, 451 nt
Filed under: uncultured bacterium
Lineage: Bacteria
Description: bacterial SSU rRNA
Rfam family: Bacterial small subunit ribosomal RNA
Source: RNAcentral